Molecule: long non-coding RNA, 1745 nt
Organism: Chrysemys picta bellii (western painted turtle)
Lineage: Eukaryota; Metazoa; Chordata; Testudines; Emydidae
Source: Ensembl
CCUCCCCUCUCCCUCCCAAGCUUGCUGUGUGAAACUGCUGUUUCGUGGCGCAAGUGCUGGAGGGAUGGGGGAGAAGCAGGAUGCGGUGGCGUGCUCAGGGGAGGAGGCAGAGGCGGAGCGGAGACGGAGGUGAGUUGGAGCGGGGAGCUGCUGGUGGGUGCUUCAGCCCCAGAGCAUCCAUGGAGUUGGUGCCUAUGCUCCCGCAGGGCACCUACAAGAGACCCGUGGCAUCGGGAAAAGCCAAACAAAAGUCUGUGCACGCCUCUGAGCAGCAGAGUCAGAGCCUAGGGAACAGCAACAACAGUUCCUAAAUCAGUCUAACUCUCCGCUCCUGGACAACCAGUGCUCACUCUUUGACCAGCCAUUCUCCCCACCUGACCUGGCUACCUUUACUGACAAUGAGCCUGAUAUGCAGCAGCAGGCGGAGUUCUCCCCACCUGCCUCUCCUCCUCCACUGGAACAUUUUGCACCUCAGGUCACGGCUCACAACCACCAGCCUCAGUUUCCCUACUUUGCUCCCCCAUGGGCAGCACCUAACUUUUCUUAUCAGAUGCCUUGGCCUCAUUGGUACCCUUGGCCAGCUCCUACUGCCACUUGCCCUCAUGCUUCUUCCACCAGACCACAAGCUCCUUCUGCACCUCUAUCUCCAGCUCCGUCUACUUCUAGAACACCUGAACUCCCCUCUGAAGAAGUGGGCUAUGGACCAUACCCUGAUUCACCGACUCCUAACUCUCCAUCAGCUCCAGACAGAGUCCUCAUGCCUCCGCCUCCACAGAAUGUGGAUGACUUCAAACAGUUCCAAGAACUUUUAAAGAGGGUGGCACUCUGCCAAGACAUCCCUUUAGAAGAGGUCCAGGAGACACAACACAAACUCCUCAAAAUCCUCCAACCCUCUGCACCCUCAAAGAUCACGCUUCCCAUAAAUGAAGCACUCCUAGAACCAGCUGACACUCUCUCGCAGACCCCAGCCUCUAUCUUACCAACUUGCAAAAAGGCUGAACAUAAAUAUUAUGUUCCUGCUAAGGACGUAGACUUCUUAUUCUCCCAUCCACAACCAAAUUCUUUUGUAGUGGAUGCAGCGACUCACAGGAUGAAACAACCACAUUACUGGCCCACCCUGCAAGACAAGGACCUCAAACACCUUGACAUCUUGGGCUGCAAGGUUUAUACCUCCUCCACUCUGCAAUUCAGAAUUGCAAACUAUUCCACCUUACUUGCAAGCUACGACUUUGAUAAUUACAAUAAACUCUUUGAUUUUACCUCCCAUAUUCCAGAGGACAGGAGAGCAGACUUUCAGUCAGUCCUUGUCGAGGGCCAAUUGGUCUCCAGAAUGGCCCUACAAGCAUCUCUGGACAUGGUGGAUACAGCUGCCCGCACUACUACAACUGCAGUGGUUAUGUGCAGAUCUUCCUGGCUCUCUGCAUCCAGUAUCCCCAAAGACCUGCAGACCAAAGUGGAGGACCUCCCCUUUGAUAAAGACAAACUCUUUUCUGAGAAAACUGACAAAGUCCUUCACACCAUGAAAGACUCAAGAGUGACCCUGCGCACCCUGGGCAUCUACCCAUCCAUUCCCAGGAGACAACGGUAUCAACCUUAGCUGAGGCCACGCACACAACAGUAUCACCAGCCUCAGAACAGACCAUACGAUAUACCCAGGAAUCGCCCUAGACCUCCUAGGCCCAGACAAAACCAAGCGCAAACAGCUACCUCCCACCCAUCAGGAAAUAAACAACAAUUUUGAAGCA